RNAcentral lists this unclassified non-coding RNA (1080 nucleotides) under leaf metagenome. Its description in RNAcentral is "partial contains internal transcribed spacer 1, 5.8S ribosomal RNA, internal transcribed spacer 2, and large subunit ribosomal RNA". The stretch from base 496 to 1080 matches the Rfam family "Eukaryotic large subunit ribosomal RNA", at positions 1 to 597 of the family's 3401-position model. The record is from RNAcentral.
GAUCAUUACUGAGUUUACGCUCUACAACCCUUUGUGAACAUACCUAUAACUGUUGCUUCGGCGGGUAGGGUCUCCGUGACCCUCCCGGCCUCCCGCCCCCGGGCGGGUCGGCGCCCGCCGGAGGAUAACCAAACUCUGAUUUAACGACGUUUCUUCUGAGUGGUACAAGCAAAUAAUCAAAACUUUUAACAACGGAUCUCUUGGUUCUGGCAUCGAUGAAGAACGCAGCGAAAUGCGAUAAGUAAUGUGAAUUGCAGAAUUCAGUGAAUCAUCGAAUCUUUGAACGCACAUUGCGCCCGCCAGCAUUCUGGCGGGCAUGCCUGUUCGAGCGUCAUUUCAACCCUCAAGCUCUGCUUGGUGUUGGGGCCCUACAGCUGAUGUAGGCCCUCAAAGGUAGUGGCGGACCCUCCCGGAGCCUCCUUUGCGUAGUAACUUUACGUCUCGCACUGGGAUCCGGAGGGACUCUUGCCGUAAAACCCCCAAUUUUCCAAAGGUUGACCUCGGAUCAGGUAGGAAUACCCGCUGAACUUAAGCAUAUCAAUAAGCGGAGGAAAAGAAACCAACAGGGAUUGCCUCAGUAACGGCGAGUGAAGCGGCAACAGCUCAAAUUUGAAAUCUGGCCCUAGGCCCGAGUUGUAAUUUGCAGAGGAUGCUUUUGGUGCGGUGCCUUCCAAGUUCCCUAGAACGGGACGCCAGAGAGGGUGAGAGCCCCGUACAGUUGGACACCAAGCCUUUGUAAAGCUCCUUCGACGAGUCGAGUAGUUUGGGAAUGCUGCUCAAAAUGGGAGGUAUAUUUCUUCUAAAGCUAAAUACCGGCCAGAGACCGAUAGCGCACAAGUAGAGUGAUCGAAAGAUGAAAAGCACUUUGAAAAGAGGGUUAAACAGCACGUGAAAUUGUUAAAAGGGAAGCGCUUGUGACCAGACUUGCGUCCGGUGAAUCACCCAGCUCUCGCGGCUGGGGCACUUCGCCGGCUCAGGCCAGCAUCAGCUCGCUGUCGGGGACAAAAGCUUCAGGAACGUAGCUCUCUUCGGGGAGUGUUAUAGCCUGUUGCAUAAUACCCUUCGGCGGGCGAGGUACGC